RNAcentral lists this ribosomal RNA (255 nucleotides) under uncultured bacterium. RNAcentral's name for it is "partial 16S ribosomal RNA". It matches the Rfam family "Bacterial small subunit ribosomal RNA", at positions 524 to 776 of the family's 1533-position model. The record is from RNAcentral.
AACGGGGGGGGUUAGUGUUAUUCAUCAUAACUGGGUGUAAAGCGUAUUUAGGUGGUUUCUAAAGUUUAAAUUAAAAUAAUCUAGGCGUAACCUAGAAAUUAAUUUUUAUACUAAGAUUCUAGAGGUCAAAGGAAGAAAGUUAUAUUCUUAAUGGAGAAGUGAUAUUCAAAGAUAUUGGGGAGAUAACCAUCAGGCGCAGGCAACUUUCUAUAAUGAUACUGACACUAAGUUACAAAAGCGUGGGGAGCAAAUCGG